Molecule: unclassified non-coding RNA, 266 nt
Filed under: Hevea brasiliensis (rubber tree)
Lineage: Eukaryota; Viridiplantae; Streptophyta; Magnoliopsida; Malpighiales; Euphorbiaceae
Source: RNAcentral
AUUAAGUUGAAAAAAAAAUAUCAGAGUUCUAUUUCCACAAAGCACAUGCAUAAUUAAACGCAGCAAACAACCAGUUUAUGGCCUGGAUUCCCGGUUACGCAAUUCAGGCCACGGAAUCCCAAGCAACCAAACAAUCCAGAAAAAGCUAGGGUUUACGCUUUUCAGCUGAAGCAAAGAGAUAACAUAGAUCCUUGUAAUUUGUAAGCAGAUCUAGACAACACAUGAAAAUCAGAUAGGAGAAAGCAAAUCAAAAUAAUUGAGGUGGA